GAUGAAGAACGUAGCGAAAUGCGAUAAGUAAUGUGAAUUGCAGAAUUCAGUGAAUCAUCGAAUCUUUGAACGCACAUUGCGCCCGCCAGUAUUCUGGCGGGCAUGCCUGUCCGAGCGUCAUUUCAACCCUCGAGCCCCCCCCCGGGGGGUCGGCGUUGGGGAUCGGCUCACGCUGCCGGCCCCGAAAUCCAGUGGCGGUCCCGCCGCAGCCUCCCCUGCGCAGUAAGCUUUGCACACUCGCAACGGGAGCGCGGCGCGCCCACGGCCGUAAAACACCCCGAAAACUUCUCCAAAGGUUGACCUCGGAUCAGGUAGGAAUACCCGCUGAACUUAAGCAUAUCAAUAAGCGGAGGA
RNAcentral lists this unclassified non-coding RNA (354 nucleotides) under soil metagenome. Its description in RNAcentral is "partial contains 5.8S ribosomal RNA, internal transcribed spacer 2, and large subunit ribosomal RNA". The stretch from base 1 to 120 matches the Rfam family "5.8S ribosomal RNA", at positions 35 to 154 of the family's 154-position model. The record is from RNAcentral.